Molecule: non-coding RNA, 474 nt
Organism: Cricetulus griseus (Chinese hamster)
Lineage: Eukaryota; Metazoa; Chordata; Mammalia; Rodentia; Cricetidae
Source: the annotation of a RefSeq genome assembly
AUGCUCCUGAUGCUCCUCCCAGUUCUGGGGGUACACUUUCUCCUGAGAGACUCCAGAGCACAGUCAGUGACUCAGCCUCAAGCUCGCAUCACUGUCACUGAAGAAGCCUCUCUGCAGCUGAGAUGCAACUAUUCCUCCAGUAUGACGCCUCACCUGUUCUGGUAUGUCCAGUACCCACAGCAGGGGCUCCAGCUGCUCCUCAAGUAUUACUCCGGAGAACCCGUGGUUCCUGGCUUGAGAGGCUUUGAGGCUGAGUUUAGCAAGAGUGACUCUUCCUUCCACCUGAAGAAAGCCUCUGUGCACCUGAGCGAUUCAGCUGUGUAUUUCUGUGCUCUGAGUGCACAGUGUCUGUGGCUGCAGGGGGAGCUGAACAUAAACACCCAUGGCAUCAACCUCUCCUACAAAGGCACCCCCACCCCAGCAGAAUACUUCUGCCAUGCUGGAGGCCAAACCAGUAGUAGGAACCCCAGGUAA